Molecule: long non-coding RNA, 3996 nt
Filed under: Sus scrofa (pig)
Lineage: Eukaryota; Metazoa; Chordata; Mammalia; Artiodactyla; Suidae
Description: lncRNA (ENSSSCG00035064344.1)
Source: RNAcentral
AUGGAUUUUAAAAUGAGAAACUGACCAAAUCUUUGGUAUUAGAGGCAUUUAAAUCAGUUGCAGCAUAAAAAGACACUGAAGCGGUUUGAAUAGAAGCUCUACCUUUAAUAGCCCUCUGGUAAAAUAUUUAAAUUCUCUAGCUGUAAGUCAGUCCUUGUAAAAUGGGGGGGAAAUGUGCUUCCCUUGCAGGUUAUAAGUAUUAAAAAUUAAGCUAAUGCUGUGUAGUGCCAAGCAUAGUGAUGGCAAUUUUGUGCACACGUGGAUGGUUCUUGCUUCAUGCUCACACACACACAUGCUUCCGCAUCCAUGCCCAGUCAGCUCUUUUGUGAGCCCAGGUAUGCCUCCAGGAUCCUGCCCCUCCCAGGAUUCCUGCAGCCACUACCAAUCAGAGGGAGUCAGCCUCGGGACAAAGCGCAGGUGACAUCCUGUCACAUCUAGAUUUCUUAUCUGUAAAAUGGGAAUUGCUAUGGACUGAAUGUUUGUGUCCUCCCCAGAUUCCUCCGUUGAAGGCUUAACUCUCUAUGUGAUUAUAUCUGAAGGUAAGGCCUUUGCUGAACUACUUCAGAUUAAAUAAGGUCAUAAGAGUAGAUCUCCCAUCCAAUAGCAUCAGUGCCCAGUACACCAGAGCUCCUCCUGCCUCCUUCUCUGCCAUGGGAGGACACAGUGAGAAGAUGGCUAAAGGCAAAAACCAGGAAGAGGGCCUUCAUCAGAAGAAUAAGGAGUUCCUGUCAUGGCUCAGCAGAAACGAAUCUGACUAGUAUCCAUGAGGACACAGGUUCGAUCCCUGGCCUUGCUCAGUGGCUUAAGGAUCUGGUGUUGCUGUGAGCUGUAUUGUAGGUCACAGGUGCAGCUCGGAUCCCGCCAUGUGCCUCAGGUGUGGCCCACAAAGACCAAAAAAAAAAAAAGAAGAAGAAGAAGACCAUGCUGUCACCUCCGUCUCCAGAACUGUGAGAGAAAGAAUCUCUCCUGUUUAGACCACACAGUCUAUGGUACUUUGUUACGGCAGCCUGAUCUUACUGAGUCAGGAAUAUCAGAACCUUCCUCAGAUGCUUAUUAUGACAACCAAAGGGGGCAUCACUUACUCAGUCAACAUGAUGGAAUGUCUAUUAUGCAUUGGACUGCGUGUGAAAAGUGCAGGGAGUAUAAAGACUCCCGUGACAGGGAUCCCAUUCCCCAGGAAGCGACUGUCUUAACCAUUUUAACAGACCGUCAGUGCAUGACAGAAACUAGAAGGUGCAUGCUAGCUUGUUGAUACACAUGCACACAAGAGUCUUAAAGAUGCCAGUUGUGUGCAGAGUUAGAUGUAAAUAAUAUACACUAGAGCAUUUGCAUUAUAGGGGAAUCUGGAAAGGAACUUCAAUUUACAGUCGCCGCUGAGCUCUGUAAGGUCAGAUCCCAGAUCUGGAUUGGUUACAUUUUACCAUUUACUCUCUGCCGCUAGCCACAGCCACCAGCGUAGAACAGGAAAUCGUAAAUGUUGUGGCAUAAACAUGUAAAUUAAUGUUAAAGCGUAACAUAUUCCAUUUAACACAUAUAGCAUGACCCAUAUCAAUAAAUGAGGUGAUAAAGGGAACAAAGACACUAAAUUGAUAGCGUAUUGUCUCCACUGAGUGUGAAUGCAUUUUUGUAUAUGAUAAAACUAAGAUUUUACUGACCCCAAAAGAAAUACACUUGCAAGGAUUUAGAGGCCCACACAACAUUUGGAUGGGCAGGGAGUGGGGUUUAGUGAGAGAAGAAGUUUCUGGAUUAGAGGGAGGACCCCACAGAUGGUCUCAUUGCUAUGUUCACCACCGAAGCAGGUGAUUCCCAGGGCCCUCCUUGGCAGCGGGUACCAACUUCUCAUUUUCUCUCUGCCCACACUCUCUGCUAUUUGCUUCAUCUUGAAAACUGUGGAUGUGUACACAUGUGUGACUGAAUCACUUUGUUGUAUAGCAGAAAUCAUCACCACCUUGUAAAUCAACUAUACUUCAACAAAACUUUAAAAAAAAGAAAAAAAAUCAUGUUUUAUGCAUCUCUUAAAGUACCUAGCACAAUGUUUGGUACAUAGAAAAUACCUCAUUCAUGUCUUUUGAGUAAAUGCUCUCUCCUUUUAUUCUCACAACUGAUCAGUGAUGUGGAUGUCAUCAAAGUCAGUGAUGAAAACUUGGAAGAAUCUUAAAAGCAACAACAUUGCCAUAAGAUGGAAUAGUAUGCCACGGUUUUCAAAAUUUUAUCCAUAUGAGAGAACGUUCAUGUUACACUGUUACCUUUAUACACACAAACAUGCACACCUGCCAAACUAUUAUCAGCAGUUAUUUCUGCGUAGUGGAAUUAUAACUUCUUUUUCCCUCUUCUUUUAGAUUUUUAACUUUUAAAACAUUAUCUGCCCAUCUUUUUUAUAUUAAGCUUUUAUUUUAUGAUAAAGAAUGUUACUAAAAAUCAGUCAUUGUAUAAAGGCUUUACCAUGUUAGUUAUUAAUAUUUCAGUACGGAUGAGGAUGCUAAAUUAAUCUAAGCAGUGAUCAGGAACCAUGGGAAGACAGAGAAAAGCAGGUCUUCCUGAGGUCAAAGCAGCAAUAGCCAUUCCUUUUUGCUGUUUUUGAAGAAUGUUCCUCUCCUUACCCAUCAUUCUUCAAAAUUCAAUUCACCACUUGCUGAAUCUCAGGAUUUCAAUCUCGGUUCAGAGCAAAGGUCUCCACUGCCAGAAAGAGCCCCCUGGUCCAUGCUAGAGAAGGUGUAGUUUAUGAGUUCCCCAGCUAGCAGGAGGCUGUGUCCCCAAGGUCGUUUGAGGGGAGCCCAGAAACUCUUCAGCCCUGGGGUUUGAAAGGGUAUGAUACUCUAAGCUUUGAAUUUGCUGCAUUGUUCCAUGUGGAGCAGGGGUUCUCACCUCAGCUCUGCUGACACUGUGAGCUGGAUGAUUAUUUUGGGGUGAUAUCCCAUGAAUGUUUAGUAGCAUCCAUGGUUCCAACUCACCAGAUGCCAGUAGCACUUUCACCCUCCAAGCCAUAACAAGCAAAAAUAUCUACAGAUACUACCAAGUGUUCCCUGAAACCUAUUGUAAAACCUUUAUUCUAUUUUAUGUUAUUUCCCAUCAUGGUCUGUCCUAGUAGACUGUAUAUAGUUUCCUAUGCUAUACAGUAGGACAUUUUGUCAAAGAAUAUAUGUAUGUAUAGACAUAUAUACAUACAUACACAUAUAUAACUGAGUCACUUUGCUGUACAGCUGAAAUUGACACAACAUUGUAAAUCAACUAUGCUUUAAUUAAAAAAGAAAAAAAUGUUCUAAGUGUAGUUAAAGCCAUGGGGUGGGUGGUUACGCAGAAGAGAGAAGUGUGAUAAUCCAGCAAUCUUGUGGACCAAGGACCAGAGGGACCAAGGGUUCAGAAGCAGGGAGAGCAGUGAGAGGGCUAUUCCAAUGGUCCAGAUGAGACAACAGAAUUGAGUGGGAUAUGCAUGGGAAAUAAAGCCAUUAGGACAUUCUAAGGGAUUGGGUUUGAGGUAUGAGGGAAAGAAACAGUAGGACUCCACUUUUAUGGUGCAAGAUAGAGCAUUGUAGUAAAAGCCAGCACUCCAGAAGCGUACUGCCCCACUGUGUAAGUUAUCUGUUAUCCUGGAGUGAGUUAUCUGUAAACUGGAGAUGAUGAAAAUGCCUAUCUACCUCAUAGGGCUAUUGUGAGGGCUACACAAGUUACUGCAUGGAGUGAUCUUAAAAGAAUGGCAACUCAAUAAACAUCCACUGAGGAAAACUGAAGAAGAUCAUAUUUAGAGAAACAAAAAUCGUGGGUGUCCUUAAACAUAUACAUAUUUUUUUUCAAUCAUGCUUUAUUUAAGAAUCUUGUGUUUAUUGUAUCAGUUUCUCAUACCUCACUAGCUGUGGAAGCAGAGGCUGCUUGCUGUGUAUCCAUGAGAUAAACUCAGAUUUUUAUCUGUGGUUUCUAUUAAAAAUCAAUGUGAUUCUAAAUCCAGCUAAUCUCCUUGGUAUAGAUACAUGCACGUGUGUGUGCAUACACACACACAUA